RNAcentral lists this small RNA (527 nucleotides) under Arabidopsis thaliana (thale cress). Its description in RNAcentral is "ATSL200050". Lineage: Eukaryota; Viridiplantae; Streptophyta; Magnoliopsida; Brassicales; Brassicaceae. The record is from RNAcentral.
CCUUAGAUUUGGUUAAUGAACUUGUUGUCUAGGGAUAAUUAUUGAGCAUGUCAAUCACCUGUAAAUUGAGGAAACAAAACUACUCAAUUACCCAUCCUCGGGAAUUCUUUAUCUGAUUGAAUUUAUUGUUUACUCUACUAUUGUUACUGCAUCUUGUCAUCUGUUGCUUAGUUUCUGCAAUUCUUUCUUGUUACUCGACAUGAUACUCGACCACCCAGUUGUCUGGCAACAAACUGUGCAGUCGAGUAUCCCUGUUUCGUUUACUGCCUGUUACUCGACCAAGUCACUCGACCACACCCAAUGUUCUGCAAUGAGCUGUGUUGGUCGAGUGUUUUAUUAUUUCUGUUUUCUGCAUGUUCACUUAGGACAGCUAGAACACACCAAAACCUGUUAUUGCUUGGCUUGACUUAGUGACUUCUGAUCACAUCUUGAUUGUUAGCAUCACACCCAUUUGGAUUGACAACCUAAAAUACUACAACGACAUGAUUGGUGUUUUAGGAUAAUUGAUUAAAAACCUAUUAUCAAAA